UGGCGGCGUGCCUAAUACAUGCAAGUCGAACGGUCUUUCUAUGGAAGCUUGCUUCCACUGAGAAGAUAGUGGCGAACGGGUGAGGUAACACGUGGGUAACCUGCCCAUAAGAGGGGGAGUAACAUCCGGAAACGGGUGCUAAUACCGCAUAGUUUUCUUGGUCGCAUGAUCGGGAAAGGAAAGACGGCCUUUGUGCUGUCGCUUAUGGAUGGACCCGCGGCGUAUUAGUUAGUUGGUGAGGUAACGGCUCACCAAGACGAUGAUACGUAGCCGACCUGAGAGGGUGAUCGGCCACAUUGGGACUGAGACACGGCCCAAACUCCUACGGGAGGCAGCAGUAGGGAAUCUUCCGCAAUGGACGAAAGUCUGACGGAGCAACGCCGCGUGAGUGAAGAAAAGGUUUUCGGAUCGUAAAACUCUGUUGUCAGAGAAGAACAAGUUGGAGAGUAACUGCUCCAGCCUUGACGGUAUCUGACCAGAAAGCCACGGCUAACUACGUGCCAGCAGCCGC
RNAcentral lists this ribosomal RNA (511 nucleotides) under uncultured bacterium. Its description in RNAcentral is "bacterial SSU rRNA". It matches the Rfam family "Bacterial small subunit ribosomal RNA", at positions 37 to 518 of the family's 1533-position model. The record is from RNAcentral.